This 537-nucleotide small RNA is filed under the name Pan troglodytes (chimpanzee). RNAcentral's name for it is "processed transcript". The record is from RNAcentral. Lineage: Eukaryota; Metazoa; Chordata; Mammalia; Primates; Hominidae.
AGGUGUUUCUGAUCUGCAGAUGAUUAAGUCUGUGGGUACAGAACCUGCAGUUAGAGAAGGCCAGCUGUAUACUUCUUAUGCGCUUCUGCCAGAAAAAAUUAUAAUGAACUACUACGAGAAGUAUAAGCCUCGAAUGAAUGAGCUGGAAGCUUUUAAUAUGUUGAAAGUUGUUCUGGCUCCCUGCAUAGAGACUUUGAUUCUUCUGGAUCGACUUUGUUACCUGAAAGAGCAGGAAGAUAUUGCAUGGUCUGCUCUUGUGAAGUUGUUUGAUCCCGUGAAAUCUCCCAGAUGUUAUGCUGUUAUUGCUCUGAAGAAGCAGCAGUGAUUUCCAAUGAAGCAAAUUAUUAGAUGUAUUUCUCUAUGAGACCUGUUGCUGAGAUUGCUUUUCUAAACAUAUAUGUCCUGUUAUACAAAAAUUUUUAAAUGACUGUUAUAUAUUUUAAAUAAUAAAAUAAUGGCUAACAACAGAAGGUUAUAAUCCAUUUUUCCAUUGUCAAAGCAUACAUUAAUAAAAGAAGAACCUGUCAUAAUAAUAUA